Molecule: long non-coding RNA, 269 nt
Organism: Lingula anatina
Lineage: Eukaryota; Metazoa; Brachiopoda; Lingulata; Lingulida; Lingulidae
Source: RefSeq, a predicted model, not a curated record
ACAACUGCUCCAUGGAUAACUCUACAUUCAAAGCUGUGUGUUCGUGUCCAAGGGGUUUCCGUCUGGGAAAGGACCAAAGGACGUGCGAGUUUCACAAUCUGUGUCUUGAAAACAACGGAGGGUGUUCGGACAACUGCUCCAUGGAUAACUCUACAUUCACUGUCGUCUGCUCGUGUCCGAAGGGCUUUGUGGUGGGAAGUAACAAGCGCGCCUGUAUUAGAGACGAGUGUACAGUAGAUAACGGUGGCUGUAGCCAUUUCUGUGUCCAU